GAUGAACGCUGGCGGCGUGCCUAAUACAUGCAAGUCGAGCGAAGGUUUUCUGGUCCUUCCUCUCGAAAGAUUUCGCCGCGCACGGGAGUGUAACACGUAAAGCCUCUCUCUCAUACUCUGGGAACAUCAUUGGAACCGAUCGCUUACCCCGGAUUACAGCAUUCCCCGCAUGGCUGAUGUUUAAAAGUUGCUUUCGCUCACACUUUGAUAUGGCCUUGCGGUGCAUUAGCUAGUUGGUGGGGUAAAGGCCUACCAAGGCGACGAUGCAUAGCCGACCUGAGAGGGUGAUCGGCCACACUGGGACUGAGACACGGCCCAGACUCCUACGGGAGGCAGCAGUAGGGAAUCUUCCGCAAUGGGCGAAAGCCUGACGGAGCAACGCCGCGUGAGUGAAGAAGGAUUUCGGAUCGUAAAGCUCUGUUAUUAGGGAAGAAUGAAUGUGUAGUAACUAGACACAAUAGAGACGGUACCUAACCAGAAAGCCACGGCUAACUACGUG
Molecule: ribosomal RNA, 499 nt
Filed under: uncultured bacterium
Lineage: Bacteria
Description: partial 16S ribosomal RNA
Rfam family: Bacterial small subunit ribosomal RNA
Source: RNAcentral